ACAUAAGUGAUAUAAAGCAGUUCGGUACGAAUUUUUAGUGCCAAAUUGUCCGUUUUAACAUUUGCAUUACGAAUUUUUUUUGAAUUUUUCCUUAUUGUUUUGAAAAUUCUCUAAAUACACUGAAAACA
Molecule: small RNA, 128 nt
Filed under: Arabidopsis thaliana (thale cress)
Lineage: Eukaryota; Viridiplantae; Streptophyta; Magnoliopsida; Brassicales; Brassicaceae
Description: ATSL173030
Source: RNAcentral